Molecule: ribosomal RNA, 441 nt
Filed under: uncultured bacterium
Lineage: Bacteria
Description: partial 16S ribosomal RNA
Rfam family: Bacterial small subunit ribosomal RNA
Source: RNAcentral
CCUACGGGCGGCAGCAGUGGGGAAUAUUGCACAAUGGGGGAAACCCUGAUGCAGCGACGCCGCGUGAGUGAAGAAGUAUUUCGGUAUGGAAAGCUCUAUCAGCAGGGAAGAAGAAAGACGGUACCUGACUCAGAAGCCCCGGCUAACUACGUGCCAGCAGCCGCGGUAAUACGAAGGGGGCAAGCGUUAUCCGGAUUGACUGGGUGUAAAGGGAGCGUAGACGGCUGUGCAAGUCUGAAGUGAAAGCCCAGGGCUCAACCCUGGGACUGCUUGGGAAACUGUGGGGCUAGAGUGCUGGAGAGGUAAGUGGAAUUCCUAGUGUAGCGGUGAAAUGCGUAGAUAUUAGGAGGAACACCAGUGGCGAAGGCGGCUUACUGGACAGUAACUGACGUUGAGGCUCGAAAGCGUGGGGAGCAAACAGGAUUAGAUACCCGUGUAGUC